UGUAUAAUAAGCCAAAAAAAUAAAAACCGCUUUCAAAUCCCUCUUUGUUAUUAUGUAAUUGGCCAGAGAUAUGAUGUCGUCAAUGAUUGUUCUUAGCCAUCAAGAUGUACUAUAUUUGUUCAACAUGGCAUCAAUGAUACUUUGGAACCUCCCUUAACACACACCUCCUUAAAACCUUUGACCUAUGCGAAUCUUAAAGCAUCACGAAGAGCCCGUGCUUCAACAACAAAACUUGUACUUUCUCCAAUGUUGAUGCAUAAAACCGGAGGUCUUGGAACAACGUAAAUCCGACCGUGAAUCUGCAUGAAAUGUAAAUAACACAAGAUGUAUCGUGGUUCAGCCCAAGGUUGGGGCUACGUCCAUACUGAUUAUUGCAUUUUUGAGGGAGAGAGAGCUCUGAAUGAGAGGGAGAGCUUUGAGGGGAUGAGAGGGCUUAAGAAAGGGCUUCCCCUAAUUGUGAGGGUGAUGAGUCUUUUUAUAGAAUAAGGGCUCCUCACUUAUUACAUAUUUGCCCCUUCCUUUAUUACAUAAUUACAUUUAAGUCCAUUGAGUAUUUGUACGAUAUCUAAUUACGGAGGCCCUAAAUAUGGUAUAAACAGUAGUCCCCUAAGUCUUCAGUCAAGAGAGUAUUUUGGCUGGAGGCUUGAAAUUCAGUCCAUGUGUGGGCCGAAGUAACUAGAUGUUGUCUUGAACUGAUACUCGAUAUGAGGCGGUCCUCAAUAUAAAAUGAUGCUCAACUAGAAGUAGCAUAUGCUGCAAGAUUGCUCGGCUCGUGGUUUAUGUUGCCUUGGUUGGCUCGGCUUGUGGUGUUGAAGGUGAGGGAGUCCCUUUUAUAGAAUAAGGUUUCGCUCCUUAAUACAUGAAUGAUGAGCUAGAUUCCCCCAAGUAUUUUUCAUGAGUGCUCUCUAAUGAAAGUGAGGGAGUUCCUUUUAUAAAAUAAGGGCUCGCUCCUCAAUACAUAAGUGAUGGGCUAAGUCCCCCAAGUAUUUUUUAUGAGGCCCAGUUGAGGCCCAAUAUAUGGUACAUAAUGUAGUCCCCCAAGUCUUCGGUCAAUAGAGUCUGUUGGCUGGAAACUUCAAAUUAAAUCCGUGUAUGGGCCGAAGUGAUGGUUGUUCGAAUGUGAUAUUUGUAUAUCUUGCACUGAAGCUUUAUAAGUGAAGCUUUGCAAGUGAAGCUUUGAAGUUGGAGCUCUGUAAAUGAAGCUUUUGAAGCUAGAGCUUUUUGUAAAUGAAGCUUUUGAAGCUAGAGCUCUGUAAAUGAAACUUUUGAAGCUAGAGCUUUUGUAAAUGAAGCUUUUGAAGCUGGAGCUCUGUAAAUGAAGCUUUUGAAGGUGAUUGACAUGAGUGAUGCUCAUGAAUGUUUAUGUUGAUUGACAUGAAUGAUGCUCAUGGAUGUUGACAUGAGUGGUGCUCAUGAAUGUUGACAUGAGUGAUGCUCAUGAAUGUUUAUGUAUGAUUGAAUGAGUGAUGAUCAUGAAUGUUUAUGUAUGAUUGACAUGAGUAAUGCUCAUGUAUGAUUUUGGAGUACUGGACGUACUUUUGAUCACCUGGUUGGUGGUAAUAGCGGCAAGUUGCCGAAUAGUUUUGGAGUACUAGGUGUACUUUUGAUCACCUAGUUGGUGGUAAUAACGGCAGAUUGCCGAAUACUUGUGAAGUAUUGGGCGUACUUUUGAUCACCUGGUUGGUGGUAAUAGCGGUAGGUUGCCGAAUACUUGUGGAGUACUGGGCGUACUUUUGAUCACCUGGUUGGAGCUAUUUUGGGCUUAUGGGUCUUCGCCCUCUACACAACAUUCCAGCCCAUUUAUUUUGGGCUUUGCCGUUUUUUUUUAUUACCCUCUGAUGGGGUUUAUACAGAUGUUCUGAAAGAUAAGAAAAAUAAAUCACAUCAUACAUCUGCCAAGAAAAGUAAAUCACACCAUUUUGGUGGGGUGUUUAUUCCUUGCUUUUGCUUUCUCUUUUCUUUUCUGCUUUUGUUUUUUGCUUUUGUUUUUUCUUCUGCUUUUCUUUCUGUUUUCUGCCUUGGAUUUGUGGCUUGAUGACAUGAUUAAAGGCAACAAGGGUAAUCGUGACAGAAAUAAAAAACAUAGUUGUAGGGGUUCUCGUUACCUCGGUGGAGCACGUGGCUCCUUUAAUGCUGAAGGGAUGGCCUGGUUGCUUUCGACCUGGUUGCUUUUCUUUUGCUCUUGCUUUCCUCAGAAAUCAGAAAAUGAUUUCACAUGCAUGAAACCACGAGCACAUGGCUUGCCUUUCCUUAUCUGUUGGAUUUCUUCCUUUUUUUCUCUGACUCUCCCUCUCUUCUAAGCCGCCGUAUCAUGACCUCUAUUGACAAUAAAAGAUAAACUCCUUUGACGAUAAGAAGGAUGGAUAGCAAUGAGGAGGACAAUAUUAAACCAUGAUUAAGAACCUUCAUCUUCUUUAUCCCAAAUCUGCAAAGGCUUGCUCCCGAGGCUGUAUAGAAUGGGCAGAAAACCGGAUUGAAACGUGUUCUUGAACACUCUUACUUCGAUCUAAGUCGAACCGGAAAAGAGUACUUCAUUCAACACCGGCAGGAAUUGCAGAACUUUCCGAUCCUCUCAAAAGCCCCAAUGUUCGCUCAUACACCGACUGCAAAUUUGCAAUUCCCGUCUAAUCCAACCUGGUCCUCGGCUCAGUUUGAACCAACACAGACCGACCCACAUCCAUAGUGUUAACCCCAUCGGAAACCAAUAUAGGAGCAGGGCUCCCCAACCCUGCAAUUGCAUCUCUAAUAAUCUUCAUUGGCGUCAAGAAAUUAAAUGGCACAGCUCCCUUAGCCAACUGAGCCUUCAUUUUCGAAACAUUGUCCUUCACCAGGGGUUAGACAGAGAAGAGGAAGAGUAAUGGCUCGAGUGAAUUGGAUAACAACGACGCAGUGGGUUGCUCAAGGUCACCAACAAACUGGACAAAGGUCUGAGUGAGGGCACCCAAAGAGUACUGACCACCGCCACCUUCCACCUCAGCAAGUCCGAUCUCGACCGCCUCGCCUCUAAGUCCAUCUUCGCAUCCAGGCUUUGCCCAAAAUCUCCAUAUACACUGGCUACAGGGGCACUACCUGCGACAUCAACUCUGGGAGGCUUUUGGGCCGGGUCUCGAUUCUGUUGGAUUUGGUGGGAACAGAGUCCAAGCCCAGCAUUUUCCACAACGGAUGGGUCUCCGUGGGGAAAGGCCUCAACAAGGAUGGGUCCACGGAUUUUGGAAGAGAGAGAAAGACGCCAGGCAAUUUCCGAUCUCUCGGAUACUUUCGCGGAUGGAUUUCGUUCGUUGAUGCGAAUAUUGAUCAAAUGGUGCUGAUCAAAUACUUGCUUUGAUCAAACUGCAACUGAUUAAAUGCUUGCUUUGAUCAAACGGUAGUUGAUUAAAUGGUUGCGAAUCAAUAGUGUUGAUCAAAUGCUUCAUUUGAUCAAAUGACAGCUGAUUAAGCUUGGAAGAUAUUUCCUUGGGGCUCAACCCUCAUCAGUUGACACGUGUUGGGAAUCAUGGUACAACCACAAACCUCGGAGAGCAUGCGGGUAAUAAGUCACUCAAGUUCCCUUAGUUAUUAAGAGAGUGGUGGUGUUGCAGCUUCUUCUCGUCUAUUAUCUCUGUGGCCAUGCCUCUGUAUGGGUUUUGCAGAUCUACCGUGGACAGUGGUGAGGUUUCACGAUGGUGAGAUGAAAAAAUGAAAGGGAACCGACAUAGCUUUUCGUGUCGUUUCCCACAGAUGACGCCAAAUGUUGAUGCACAAAACUGGAGGUCUUGGAACAAUGUAAAUCCAACCGUGAAUCUGCAUGAAAUGUAAAUAACACAAGAUGUAUCGUGGUUCACCCCAAGGUUGGGGCUAUGUCCACACUGAUUAUUGUAUUUAUGAGGGAGAGAGAGCUCUGAAUAAGAGGGAGAGCUUUGAGGGGAUGAGAGGGCUUAAGAAAUGGCCUCCCCUAAUUGUGAGGGUGAGGAGUCCUUUUAUAGAAUAAGGGCUCCUCACUUAUUACAUAUUUGCCCCUUCCUCUA
Molecule: long non-coding RNA, 4004 nt
Filed under: Malus domestica (apple)
Lineage: Eukaryota; Viridiplantae; Streptophyta; Magnoliopsida; Rosales; Rosaceae
Description: long non-coding RNA (MDOM_LNC002717)
Source: RNAcentral